AUCUUAUCUUCUGUACAACAAACUACAAACAAAAAGAGAACACAUGUACAACAUUCUUCUAGGCGCUGGUGGAAGAAUCCAAGCUUCUGACAGCGUCGCCACCGCUUAAUAAGGCGUCCCCAGGUUCUGCCCUGAAUCCGGGCUGAUAUCGCAAUUCAAUGCAACCCGCUUGAUAAGGCGUCCCCAGGUUCUGCCCUGAAUCCGGGCUGAUAUCGCAAUUCAAUGCAACCCGCUUGAUAAGGCGUCCCCAGGUUCUGCCCUGAAUCCGGGCUUAUAUCGCAAUUCAAUGCAACAGGUCCACAAUUGCUGUUCAUGCCCAACUCCGACUUCCCCGCUAAGCACUGCACCACUCUAUCGCAGCUCAGGGCAUCCCCGACGCCACAUUGUGUUUGGAACGGAUAACUACCAAGUGCACCGUCGAUCUUGGCUCGCACAUCCACCAAUAGAGUCCUCAACCGUACCACCUCCGCCUUGAGUGCGGCCUGUCCUUGCAGCCUUUUCACCAGCUGCUGGUUAAUGGCACGGAGCCUCCUCACUUCCUCUUCCAAAUGUGCCGUGUGAGCCUUCUUCUUCUGCCUGUACUUGCGGA
This 589-nucleotide long non-coding RNA is filed under the name Brachypodium distachyon (stiff brome). RNAcentral describes it as "long non-coding RNA (BDIS_LNC005354)". Lineage: Eukaryota; Viridiplantae; Streptophyta; Magnoliopsida; Poales; Poaceae. The record is from RNAcentral.